CCACCGCUUUAGUCCGCUCAGCCAUCUCUCC
RNAcentral lists this transfer RNA (31 nucleotides) under Juniperus osteosperma. RNAcentral describes it as "partial tRNA-Ser". The record is from RNAcentral. RNAcentral also lists the same sequence under 1 other name. Lineage: Eukaryota; Viridiplantae; Streptophyta; Pinopsida; Cupressales; Cupressaceae.